Molecule: ribosomal RNA, 503 nt
Filed under: uncultured bacterium
Lineage: Bacteria
Description: partial 16S ribosomal RNA
Rfam family: Bacterial small subunit ribosomal RNA
Source: RNAcentral
AUUGAACGCUGGCGGCAGGCUUAACACAUGCAAGUCGAGCGGGGUGAUGGUGCUUGCACUAUCACUUAGCGGCGGACGGGUGAGUAAUGCUUAGGAAUCUGCCUAUUAGUGGGGGACAACAUCUCGAAAGGGAUGCUAAUACCGCAUACGUCCUACGGGAGAAAGCAGGGGAUCACUUGUGACCUUGCGCUAAUAGAUGAGCCUAAGUCGGAUUAGCUAGUUGGUGGGGUAAAGGCCUACCAAGGCGACGAUCUGUAGCGGGUCUGAGAGGAUGAGCCGCAACACUGGGAUUGAGACACGGCCCAGACUCCUACGGGAGGCAGCAGUGGGGAAUAUUGGACAAUGGGGGGAACCCUGAUCCAGCCAUGCCGCGUGUGUGAAGAAGGCCUUAUGGUUGUAAAGCACUUUAAGCGAGGAGGAGGCUCUUUUGGUUAAUACCCAAGAUGAGUGGACGUUACUCGCAGAAUAAGCACCGGCUAACUCUGUGCCAGCCGCCGCGGUAA